This is a long non-coding RNA of Octopus sinensis (East Asian common octopus), 320 nucleotides long. RefSeq lists it as uncharacterized. The record is from RefSeq and is a predicted model, not a curated record. The transcript is spliced from 3 exons. NCBI's taxonomy places the organism in Eukaryota, Metazoa, Mollusca, Cephalopoda, Octopoda, Octopodidae.
GAGCAUACAACACACCAAAAAACAACAGAAAUCAAUGUUCCAAUUUAUACAACUGCACCCACAACUCAAUUGAUGCCGACAAUUACAAAAGUCAUCACAACAGAACAACCUACCACGGAACACCCAACGACUGAAAAAACAACUCAAAUUAAUGUCCCAAUUUACACGACCGAACCGACAACUCAAAAAAUGCCAACAAUAACAAGCAAAAUAACUACUGAAAAACCAACCACUGAGCAUCUUACAACAGAGAAGACUACUGAAAUUAAUGUCCCAAUAUAUACCACUGAAUCCACAACUCAAAAGAUGCCAACAAUUAC